This 253-nucleotide ribosomal RNA is filed under the name uncultured bacterium. RNAcentral's name for it is "partial 16S ribosomal RNA". It matches the Rfam family "Bacterial small subunit ribosomal RNA", at positions 524 to 776 of the family's 1533-position model. The record is from RNAcentral.
UACAGAGGGGGCAAGCGUUGUUCGGAAUUACUGGGCGUAAAGGGCGCGUAGGCGGCCUUCUAAGUCAGACGUGAAAUCCCCCGGCUCAACCGGGGAACUGCGUCUGAGACUGGAAGGCUUGAAUCCGGGAGAGGGAUGUGGAAUUCCAGGUGUAGCGGUGAAAUGCGUAGAUAUCUGGAGGAACACCGGUGGCGAAGGCGGCAUCCUGGACCGGUACUGACGCUGAGACGCGAAAGCGUGGGGAGCGAACAGG